Non-coding RNA from Paramisgurnus dabryanus, 641 nucleotides. The record is from RefSeq and is a predicted model, not a curated record. Lineage: Eukaryota; Metazoa; Chordata; Actinopteri; Cypriniformes; Cobitidae.
UCACUUUUUUAUUCUUUCUGUCUAGUACUUUGAGAUUGCAUAAGAGUAAGCUGUAACUGUUCAAAGUACAUAAAAAAAUUGGCAUGUAGUUCUCUCUUAAAUUUUAAACUCAAUUGUCAGUUUCUGGAUUAAUUGAAAUACCACAAGCAUUGAUGGGACCUUUCUUCCUUCAUCACAUACAUGUCUUGUUAAUAGCCAGGAAUGACAUGCUAAAUGUCCAUGCUAUUGGGUGGAACCAACGGAAGCAAGAAGGCCUUCAGCAUUAUCCAGCAGAUACAUCAAGAAAGGCUCAGAGACGGGAAGAUUUGAGCAGUGAACGGGGGUGUCCUGAGAACAUUGUGACAUGUGUACAAGAUGUCAGACAAUAGGCUACUGAUGGUACCAGAUGUGAUGACCAACAUAACCUUCAGAAAUGAAUUGAACAAAUGUUUCUUAGUCUUCAUCGAAAAGCCAGCCUUUAUAAUCACACUGAAUCCAGCAACACCCUCACCAAGAAGAUUUUUUUGAUGUAUACAUGUCAAAAGUGCACCUUCAAGAAACAAAGAUCACUGUGAUGAGGGAGAUGAGACACUACUGCACCGCACCUAUCUCAGAAGCCUGGCUAGGAACAUCGGGAAAAUUAUAUCAGAAAUGUCUUCAUG